AAUCUUUGCUGCUUUUAUCUCUCAGAGAAACGAGUGGGAGUUGUGCAUGGAAAAAUGUCUGGAUGUCUGCCUUCUACAGUGUUACUUAUUCAGUUUUAUGAUUUCAGUCGCAACUUUGGCAAUUGUCUCUUCUUACUUCGUGGUUCUGGGAAACAAGAGGAUUACUCAGCCUUACUCCAAGCCCUGAGCAUAUUUCCUGGCUGAAUUGUGUUUGCUGAACUAGCUCGUAAGGAUCAAAACCUCUGGCUAAAACUACAACAACACGCAAGAAUAUGGGAUGUACAGCACCAAGACUGAACCCUAAUGUAGACUAUGGACUCUGGGCGAUCAAGGAACCAUUAAAGGCUUCCAAGCAUGAGGGUGACAUGAUGAGAUCUGCGCUUCAAGAAGCAAGAAACCAACUGCCUUUGUACAUCAAUCAAGCAGAAUCGAUUCUGAAGUUUCUCCCUUCACAGGAUAUGACAGGGACCUGCAGCUGAUUCGUGAGCUGCUCCUCGCUCCAGCGAUGCACUGCUCGGGGAAGAGACCUGUGAGGUGCUGCGAGAUGGGAGGGAUCCAACUGCUCGAGGAGAGAGCGGACUUGCAUCACCACGAAAACACUGAGCACAGACCAGCCUUCGAAGGCAAAGCGAAGUGAUCUUUUGGCUAAAACCUUGGUAUUUCUUGCUGAGUCCACCUGCCUGAUGCCAUCGCUGAAAGACAAGCAAGAACACAUGGAGAAUGUGACUUUCAGGGAAUGAAUCGCUGGAACCAGAAGCCUGGAAGGAACUCCCUGCCAGCAGGAGGCAGCCAACUUUGGUUUCCAGGGCUCUGGAAAGGGAGCUCGCCCCUCGUUUACUUCUCUGGAAGCUCUGCGAGAGGAGGGCGGUGGCAGUCAUGGUCAUUCCCGUAUUUGAUUGCUGUCUGUUUACCCAGAAGACUGCAGGCUCCAUGAAGGGAGAGACCCCUGGGUGAAUCCAGUGCCUGGACAGCGCCCUGCUCAGCACCGUGAACAACAAGCGUGCCCUGAUGAGCAGCCACAGGGCGCGGAGGCGUGCCGUGAUCGGGACACGCUCAUCCCAGGAAACUCCAAACAGCUCCUCAGAGCUAUCAUAAAGGAAGUUAAGGACAGUUCCCUGGAGAAGCAAUGAUCCAGCUGAGUUCCAAGUUAAGCGGGAAUGACAGAGAGAGUUGGCGGGAGUAUUCCAGGUGGAGCGAGCAGCAUUUGCAAAGGCCUGGCCGCCACCCAGAGAACCAAGGUUGCCUCUGCAGAGUUUUAGGCAGCAGAGCGAUAGGAUAUGGUUUGUGUUUCAAAAGGACCAGUAGGUUAUUAUCGUUAAACCAGCUUUGGGGGGCUUGUAAAUAUGUUGGUUUGUGUGUGUGUGUGUGUGUGUGUGUGUGUUUUGUUACAAAACAAGGAAAGAAAAAACUAAGUCUAGGAGAAGUAAUGAUUUUAGAAUGCAUUCUACUCUUGCUUCGCUGUCUAGGACUCUGUGGAGGAAGGGAGUCUAUCACAGUGAUUUUAGAAACCAUGACCUAUGGGCAAGCCCCACUUGAAACAGUAAAAGUGUCACAAAAGUUGGCUGCAAGUCAGAUGUUUGUAAACUGAAUCCUGCUUUGAGUGCACAGUGGAAACUUGCUCCGUGAAAUAAUGAUGUGACGAAAAUUUUAUAGAAGAUGGUUUUUAUUCAAACAAUCACCUACGCCCUAAGUUCUCUGACUUGUAAGUGAUGUGUUUUGUAACUAUAAAAUAAAAACCCUGAGAUCUUUUAGGGACCUCAGAGUUCUCGGCUCCAA
Molecule: non-coding RNA, 1776 nt
Organism: Delphinapterus leucas (beluga whale)
Lineage: Eukaryota; Metazoa; Chordata; Mammalia; Artiodactyla; Monodontidae
Source: RefSeq, a predicted model, not a curated record